Dipodomys ordii (Ord's kangaroo rat) is the source of this 65-nucleotide non-coding RNA. The record is from Rfam. NCBI's taxonomy places the organism in Eukaryota, Metazoa, Chordata, Mammalia, Rodentia, Heteromyidae.
GGUGGCUCAGUGGUAGAGUGUUUGCCUUGCAUGCAUAAACCCCUGGGUUCGAUUCCUCAGCACCA